UACGUAGGGUGCAAGCGUUAAUCGGAAUUACUGGGCGUAAAGCGUGCGCAGGCGGUUUUUCAAGACCGAUGUGAAAUCCCCGGGCUUAACCUGGGAAUGGCAUUGGUGAUUGGAAGGCUUGAGUGUGUCAGAGGGGGAUAGAAUUCCACGUGUAGCAGUGAAAUGCGUAGAGAUGUGGAGGAAUACCGAUGGCGAAGGCAGCCCCCUGGGAUAACACUGACGCUCAGGCACGAAAGCGUGGGGAGCAAACAGG
Molecule: ribosomal RNA, 253 nt
Filed under: uncultured bacterium
Lineage: Bacteria
Description: partial 16S ribosomal RNA
Rfam family: Bacterial small subunit ribosomal RNA
Source: RNAcentral